UCCGGUUGAUCCUGCCGGACCCGACCGCUAUCGGGGUAGGGCUAAGCCAUGCGAGUCGCGCGCCCGGGGGCGCCCGGGAGCGGCGCACGGCUCAGUAACACGUGCCCAACCUACCCUCGGGAGGGGGACACCCCCGGGAAACUGGGGCCAAUCCCCCAUAGGGGAGGGGCGCUGGAAGGCCCCCUCCCCCAAAGGGAUGGCGGCCGAUCCGCCGCCAUCCGCCCGAGGAUGGGGGCACGGCCCAUCAGGUAGUUGGCGGGUUAAAGGCCCGCCAAGCCGAAGACGGGUAGGGGCGGUGAGAGCCGCGAGCCCCGAGAUCGGCACUGAGACAAGGGCCGAGGCCCUACGGGGUGCAGCAGGCGCGAAUACUCCGCAAUGCGGGCAACCGCGACGGGGCUACCCCGAGUGCCGGGCGAAGAGCCCGGCUUUUGCCCGGUCUAAAAAGCCGGGAGAAUAAGCGGGGGGCAAGUCUGGUGUCAGCCGCCGCGGUAAUACCAGCUCCGCGAGUGGUCGGGGUGUUUACUGGGCUUAAAGCGCCCGUAGCCGGCCCGGCAAGUCGCUCCUGAAAUCCCCGGGCUCAACCCGGGGGCGGGGGGCGAUACUGCCGGGCUAGGGGGCGGGAGAGGCCGCCGGUACUCCGGGGGUAGGGGCGAAAUCCGUUAAUCCCC
This 668-nucleotide ribosomal RNA is filed under the name uncultured Thermoproteales archaeon. RNAcentral's name for it is "partial 16S ribosomal RNA". It matches the Rfam family "Archaeal small subunit ribosomal RNA", at positions 1 to 650 of the family's 1478-position model. Lineage: Archaea; Thermoproteati; Thermoproteota; Thermoprotei; Thermoproteales. The record is from RNAcentral.